RNAcentral lists this ribosomal RNA (301 nucleotides) under uncultured bacterium. RNAcentral describes it as "partial 16S ribosomal RNA". It matches the Rfam family "Bacterial small subunit ribosomal RNA", at positions 509 to 807 of the family's 1533-position model. The record is from RNAcentral.
CAGCCGCCGCGGUAAUACGGAGGAUCCAAGCGUUAUCCGGAAUCAUUGGGUUUAAAGGGUCCGUAGGCGGUCUUGUAAGUCAGUGGUGAAAGCCCAUCGCUCAACGGUGGAACGGCAAUUGAUACUGCAGGACUUGAAUUAUUGGGAAGUAACUAGAAUAUGUAGUGUAGCGGUGAAAUGCUUAGAGAUUACAUGGAAUACCAAUUGCGAAGGCAGGUUACUACCAAUUGAUUGACGCUGAUGGACGAAAGCGUGGGUAGCGAACAGGAUUAGAUACCCCAGUAGUCCCUGUCUCUUAUAC